GAUGAAGAACGCAGCGAAAUGCGAUAAGAAGUGUGAAUUGCAGAAUUCAGUGAAUCAUCGAAUCUUUGAACGCACAUUGCGCCCUUUGGUAUUCCAAAGGGCAUGCCUGUUCGAGCGUCAUUUGUACCCUCAAGCUUUGCUUGGUGUUGGGCGUCUUGUCUCUAGCUUUGCUGGAGACUCGCCUUAAAGUAAUUGGCAGCCGGCCUACUGGUUUCGGAGCGCAGCACAAGUCGCACUCUCUAUCAGCAAAGGUCUAGCAUCCAUUAAGCCUUUUUUUCAACUUUUGACCUCGGAUCAGGUAGGGAUACCCGCUGAACUUAAGCAUAUCAAUAAGCGGAGGA
This 341-nucleotide unclassified non-coding RNA is filed under the name soil metagenome. RNAcentral describes it as "partial contains 5.8S ribosomal RNA, internal transcribed spacer 2, and large subunit ribosomal RNA". The stretch from base 1 to 120 matches the Rfam family "5.8S ribosomal RNA", at positions 35 to 154 of the family's 154-position model. The record is from RNAcentral.